Molecule: small nucleolar RNA, 75 nt
Organism: Cervus hanglu yarkandensis (Yarkand deer)
Lineage: Eukaryota; Metazoa; Chordata; Mammalia; Artiodactyla; Cervidae
Gene: SNORD114-1
Product: small nucleolar RNA, C/D box 114-1
Source: Ensembl
UGGAUCAAUGAUGAUGUCUGAUGGCGUGUGAAUUAUAUAUGGUGAGUACUUUGUGACUGGAAGUCACAGUUUCAA